AGAAAAUGAAAGUGAGGAACCACAUACGUGGACCUUUAGAGUUAUUUAUCUACAUGCCCAACCUGGCAGCCUAAGCACAUCUCAGAGGCUGCAGGCCAUGUUUAUAAAGGAACCGGGCAGCUGAAGCAUGGACUGUAAGAGCUGGUUAAUUAUCAAUUUUUGUGAGAAAGGAAGGCUGUCCUCAUCUUUUGAAAGUCCUCCGAGCACAGCAGGCUAUGCAUGGUACGCCUCCAGUUUGUGAAAACAUCGGCAUCUGGAUGAACCCGACGAGUCAUCUGUGCCUUCUGCAUUGUGUCUCUGUGUGCCCUAAAACAGCACAAGCCAGCCACAAAUGAGUUCCUCUGCUCUGCCGCACACUCUUGCUGUGACCGGCAGCUUCUCCACAGACCUAAAGCCAAUAGGGCCAACCAUCCAUGACUGAAAUCUCCAAAACUGUGAGCCAAUGUCAUCCUUUUCUCUUUAUAAAGUAAUGCUGGAGAUGGAACCCAG
This 489-nucleotide long non-coding RNA is filed under the name Heterocephalus glaber (naked mole-rat). RNAcentral describes it as "lncRNA (ENSHGLG00100036402.1)". Lineage: Eukaryota; Metazoa; Chordata; Mammalia; Rodentia; Bathyergidae. The record is from RNAcentral.